AUUGAACGCUGGCGGCAGGCCUAACACAUGCAAGUCGAGCGGACGAAGGGAGCUUGCUCCUGGAUUCAGCGGCGGACGGGUGAGUAAUGCCUAGGAAUCUGCCUGGUAGUGGAGGAUAACGUCCGGAAACGGGCGCUAACACCGCAUACGUCCUGAGGGAGAAAGUGGGGGAUCUUCGGACCUCACGCUAUCAGAUGGGCCUAGGUCGGAUUAGCUAGUUGGUGGGGUAAAGGCCUACCAAGGCGACGAUCCGUAACUGGUCUGAGAGGAUGAUCAGUCACACUGGAACUGAGACACGGUCCAGACUCCUACGGGAGGCAGCAGUGGGGAAUAUUGGACAAUGGGCGAAAGCCUGAUCCAGCCAUGCCGCGUGUGUGAAGAAGGUCUUCGGAUUGUAAAGCACUUUAAGUUGGGAGGAAGGGCAGUAAGUUAAUACCUUGCUGUUUUGACGUUACCAACAGAAUAAGCACCGGCUAACUUCGUG
Molecule: ribosomal RNA, 484 nt
Filed under: uncultured bacterium
Lineage: Bacteria
Description: partial 16S ribosomal RNA
Rfam family: Bacterial small subunit ribosomal RNA
Source: RNAcentral